Molecule: ribosomal RNA, 442 nt
Filed under: uncultured Bacteroidota bacterium
Lineage: Bacteria; Pseudomonadati; Bacteroidota
Description: bacterial SSU rRNA
Rfam family: Bacterial small subunit ribosomal RNA
Source: RNAcentral
GGGCCCGCACAAGCGGAGGAACAUGUGGUUUAAUUCGAUGAUACGCGAGGAACCUUACCCGGGCUUGAAAUGCAGAGGAAUAACCCAGAGACGGGUUAGUCAGCAAUGACCUCUGUGUAGGUGCUGCAUGGUUGUCGUCAGCUCGUGCCGUGAGGUGUCGGCUUAAGUGCCAUAACGAGCGCAACCCUUAUCAUUAGUUGCUAACAGGUCAAGCUGAGGACUCUAGUGAGACUGCCACCGUAAGGUGUGAGGAAGGUGGGGAUGACGUCAAAUCAGCACGGCCCUUACGUCCGGGGCGACACACGUGUUACAAUGGGGGGUACAACGGGCAGCUACCUGGCGACAGGAUGCUAAUCUCUAAAAACCUCUCUCAGUUCGGAUUGGAGUCUGCAACUCGACUCCAUGAAGCUGGAUUCGCUAGUAAUCGCGCAUCAGCCAGGCG